Triticum urartu is the source of this 978-nucleotide long non-coding RNA. RefSeq lists it as uncharacterized. The record is from RefSeq and is a predicted model, not a curated record. NCBI's taxonomy places the organism in Eukaryota, Viridiplantae, Streptophyta, Magnoliopsida, Poales, Poaceae.
CCUCCUCUCUCCAUCCGCAGCCCCCUCCCUCAUCUCCCACCGCACGCCGCCACCCUCCACCUCUUCGCGUCCUUCCUCCCACAGCUCGCCGCCGGCCCUCCCCUCCCUUCCCCUUACCUCGCAGCUCCGACAACUACCAGAUCCGCCGCAUACCCCACCCAUCCAUCCCUCUCGCAAUGCAUCUAUUCCUCCCCGGCACUCGCUUGUGACCCCUAGCAAUGGCUAGGGUUUCGACUGCGGCAUCGUGUCCAACACUGCACAUCUCCGGCGGCUCCCCUCCAUCCGCACAUCGCGUCUUCGGUAGCUCCUCUCCGUCCACACCGCUCUUCCUUGAGCCCACCUUGCCGGCUGUGCGGUGAUGCCGCUGUGCAACGUCCAGUGGCGAGCGACCAACUCCUGGGCCGCCGUCGGCGACACCUCUUCUCCACCAAGGGUACCAAGUAGAGACAAACAGCAGGGUACAAAGCAGAGACAAACCACCGCACUGCAACACCGAGCUAGCACUUGCCAUCACAGUGACACAACGCGUUGCUUCUUCAACUCCGUUGCUCCAUCACUAGGUCUAGGUAGCUCUGUAACAGUCGUGCCACUGCAUGGCACACAAUAGAGCUUGAGAGGGCAACCAUGAUGGCCGUUGGGAGCUGCACCACGAUCAACCAAGGGUAUGAUUGGGUCGCGAGCUACUUGGUGUUGUCCAUCAGAAUCUGCCAUGACAUGUAGUUGCCACCAGGAGGAUCGACGACAAGCACAUGAGUGGCACCCUUAGUAGUUUAUAUGUUUUGUUAACAUAAAUUGGAUUGUACUGGUUCCUAUCAUUGCCGUGUGAUAUAUUUUGACAAUAUAUGUUGUAUACUAUCAUUUCCUGGAGGAUAUUAUAAACUGCUAGGUUGUAUAGAUACCUAUGGAUGGCUACAUAUUGAGUGAUUUCUGUAACGUAUGGCACUUUGGAAAUAUUGUCCUGGUCCAAAAUUGGCAUUA